GACGAACGCUGGCGGCGUGCCUAACACAUGCAAGUCGAACGGAACUGUUUUGAAAGAUUUCUUCGGAAUGAAUUUGAUUUAGUUUAGUGGCGGACGGGUGAGUAACGCGUGAGUAACCUGCCUUCAAGAGGGGAAUAACAUUCUGAAAAGAAUGCUAAUACCGCAUGACAUAUCGGAACCACAUGGUUUUGAUAUCAAAGAUUUUAUCGCUUGAAGAUGGACUCGCGUCCGAUUAGUUAGUUGGUGAGGUAACGGCUCACCAAGACCGCGAUCGGUAGCCGGACUGAGAGGUUGAACGGCCACAUUGGGACUGAGACACGGCACAGACUCCUACGGGAGGCAGCAGUGGGGGAUAUUGCGCAAUGGGGGCAACCCUGACGCAGCAACGCCGCGUGAAGGAUGAAGGUUGUCGGAUUGUAAACUUCUUUUAUUAAGGACGAAAAAUGACGGUACUUAAUGAAUAAGCGCCGGCUAACUACGUG
Molecule: ribosomal RNA, 482 nt
Filed under: uncultured bacterium
Lineage: Bacteria
Description: partial 16S ribosomal RNA
Rfam family: Bacterial small subunit ribosomal RNA
Source: RNAcentral